RNAcentral lists this ribosomal RNA (497 nucleotides) under uncultured Alphaproteobacteria bacterium. Its description in RNAcentral is "bacterial SSU rRNA". It matches the Rfam family "Bacterial small subunit ribosomal RNA", at positions 96 to 627 of the family's 1533-position model. Lineage: Bacteria; Pseudomonadati; Pseudomonadota; Alphaproteobacteria. The record is from RNAcentral.
UGGCAGACGGGUGAGUAACAUGUAGGUAUCUGCCCUUUGGCCUGGAAUAACACGAGGAAACUUGUGCUAAUACCGGAUAAGUCUUUACGGAGAAAGCUUUAUGCACCAUUGGAUGAGCCUGCACUUGAUUAGUUUGUUGGUGGGGUAAUGGCCUACCAAGACUGUGAUCAAUAGCUGAUUUGAGAGGAUGAUCAGCCACAUUGGGACUGAGACACGGCCCAAACUCCUACGGGAGGCAGCAGUGGGGAAUCUUGCACAAUGGAGGAAACUCUGAUGCAGCGAUGCCGCGUGAGUGAAGAAGGCCCUUGGGUUGUAAAGCUCUUUCGUCGGGGAAGAAAAUGACUGUACCCGAAUAAGAAGGUCCGGCUAACUUCGUGCCAGCAGCCGCGGUAAUACGAAGGGACCUAGCGUAGUUCGGAAUUACUGGGCUUAAAGAGUUCGUAGGUGGUUGAAAAAGUUAGUGGUGAAAUCCCAGAGCUUAACUCUGGAACUGCCAU